This 859-nucleotide ribosomal RNA is filed under the name uncultured bacterium. RNAcentral describes it as "bacterial SSU rRNA". It matches the Rfam family "Bacterial small subunit ribosomal RNA", at positions 524 to 1381 of the family's 1533-position model. The record is from RNAcentral.
UACGUAGGGUGCGAGCGUUAAUCGGAAUUACUGGGCGUAAAGCGUGCGCAGGCGGUUUGGUAAGACAGAUGUGAAAUCCCCGGGCUUAACCUGGGAACUGCAUUUGUGACUGCCAGACUAGAGUGUAGCAGAGGGGGGUAGAAUUCCACGUGUAGCAGUGAAAUGCGUAGAGGUGUGGAGGAAUACCGAUGGCGAAGGCAGCCCCCUGGGCUAACACUGACGCUCAUGCACGAAAGCGUGGGGAGCAAACAGGACUAGAUACCCUGGUAGUCCACGCCCUAAACGAUGUCAACUAGGUGUUGGGGAAGGAGACUUCUUUAGUACCGCAGCUAACGCGUGAAGUUGACCGCCUGGGGAGUACGGUCGCAAGAUUAAAACUCAAAGGAAUUGACGGGGACCCGCACAAGCGGUGGAUUAUGUGGAUUAAUUCGAUGCAACGCGAAAAACCUUACCUACCCUUGACAUGUCAGGAAGAUUGCAGAGAUGUGAUUGUGCCCGAAAGGGAACCUGAACACAGGUGCUGCAUGGCUGUCGUCAGCUCGUGUCGUGAGAUGUUGGGUUAAGUCCCGCAACGAGCGCAACCCUUGUCAUUAAUUGCCAUCAUUUAGUUGGGCACUUUAAUGAGACUGCCGGUGAUAAACCGGAGGAAGGUGGGGAUGACGUCAAGUCCUCAUGGCCCUUAUGGGUAGGGCUUCACACGUAAUACAAUGGUCGGUACAGAGGGUUGCCAACCCGCGAGGGGGAGCUAAUCUCAGAAAGCCGAUCGUAGUCCGGAUCGGAGUCUGCAACUCGACUCCGUGAAGUCGGAAUCGCUAGUAAUCGCGGAUCAGCAUGUCGCGGUGAAUACGUUCCCGGGUCU